RNAcentral lists this ribosomal RNA (396 nucleotides) under uncultured bacterium. RNAcentral's name for it is "partial 16S ribosomal RNA". It matches the Rfam family "Bacterial small subunit ribosomal RNA", at positions 523 to 918 of the family's 1533-position model. The record is from RNAcentral.
AUACAGAGGGUGCAAGCGUUAAUCGGAUUUACUGGGCGUAAAGCGCGCGUAGGUGGCUAAUUAAGUCAAAUGUGAAAUCCCCGAGCUUAACUUGGGAAUUGCAUUCGAUACUGGUUAGCUAGAGUAUGGGAGAGGAUGGUAGAAUUCCAGGUGUAGCGGUGAAAUGCGUAGAGAUCUGGAGGAAUACCGAUGGCGAAGGCAGCCAUCUGGCCUAAUACGGACACUGAGGUGCGAAAGCAUGGGGAGCAAACAGGAUUAGAUACCCUGGUAGUCCAUGCCGUAAACGAUGUCUACUAGCCGUUGGGGCCCUUGAGGCUUUAGUGGCGCAGCUAACGCGAUAAGUAGACCGCCUGGGGAGUACGGUCGCAAGACUAAAACUCAAAUGAAUUGGCGGGG